RNAcentral lists this ribosomal RNA (776 nucleotides) under uncultured Neocallimastigales. RNAcentral's name for it is "partial large subunit ribosomal RNA". It matches the Rfam family "Eukaryotic large subunit ribosomal RNA", at positions 24 to 649 of the family's 3401-position model. The record is from RNAcentral. Lineage: Eukaryota; Fungi; Neocallimastigomycota; Neocallimastigomycetes; Neocallimastigales.
UAUGUGAUCGUCUCUCGCAUAUCAAUAAGCGGAGGAAAAGAAACUAACAAGGAUUCCCCUAGUAACGGCGAGUGAAGCGGGAAGAGCUCGAAUUUGAAAUCUUAAAGGGUUUCCCUUUGACGAAUUGUAGUUUAAAGAAGUGUUUUCUGUUGAGGUUUUGGUAAAAGUUCUUUGGAAUAGGACAUCAUAGAGGGUGAGAAUCCCGUAUUUGACCUUCACUUUCAACUUUGUGAUACACUUUCAAAGAGUCGGAUUGUUUGGGAAUGCAGUCCAAAAUGGGUGGUAAAUUUCAUCUAAAGCUAAAUAUUGGCGAGAGACCGAUAGCGAACAAGUACCGUGAGGGAAAGAUGAAGAGAACUUUGAAAAGAGAGUUAAACAGUACGUGAAAUUGUCAAAAGGGAAGCGUUUGACACCAGUGUUGUUUUUCUGAAAAUCAAUUAAAGAACUGUUUAUGCUAAGCUGUUUAGACUUUAUCAGCUAAUCUGUUUAGUUUUGAGCUUUUCUUUAAUGCACUUUUCAGUUAACAAGUCAACAUCAAUUUCUUUUGCUGUAAAAAAGCUUGAGGAAGGUGGCUUGAGAUUCGUCUUAAGUGUUUAUAGCCUCUUGCCUAUGCAGUCGGAGAGAUUGAGGUCUGCAGCGUAGAUCCUUCGGGGCUAAAUGCAUUUGUGCUAAGUUAUAGCAUUUUAUAGACAACUUGUUGACUAUGAUUUGUCUUGUAGCUUACUCGCUUAUGUUAUUUUACCUACGCUUAGGAUGUUGAGUAGCGACAUACGCAC